Crotalus tigris (Tiger rattlesnake) is the source of this 518-nucleotide non-coding RNA. NCBI's taxonomy places the organism in Eukaryota, Metazoa, Chordata, Lepidosauria, Squamata, Viperidae. The record is from the annotation of a RefSeq genome assembly.
CCUAUUAUUUUCUUUCUUAGCGCACUACAAUCAUGUCUUCCUGGCUGUAUCUCCUCCUGCUGGCGGCUUUGCUGGGAGGGAUCCAAUCUGAAAUACAGUUUCUUCAGUCUGGUCCACAAAUAAAAAGGCCUGGAGAAUCAAUACGAUUGACCUGUAAGGCAUCUGGAUAUAACUUCACUAACUAUAGGAUGAACUGGAUCAAACAGGCACCAGGAAAAGGACUGAACUGGGUGGGUACUAUUAGGACAGACAACUUUAAUACAUUCUAUGCUGAAGCUUUGAAAGCUCGAGUCACCAUCACCGUGGACACUUCCAUCAGCACCACAUUUCUGCAAUUGACAAACCUGAACACUGAUGAUACAGCUGUGUAUUAUUGUGGAAGGCACACAGUGGAGAAAACCACAUUCAUAGCCAUUCAUAAAUCCUCAGGAGGAAACUGGCUGCUUUGCUGGAUCCAAUCUGAAAUACAAUUUAUCCAGUCUGGUCCAGAAAUAAAAACACCUGGGGAAUCAAUAUGA